UAACGUCCCAGUUCGGAUUGUAGUCUGCAACCCGACUACAUGAAGCUGGAAUCGCUAGUAAUCGCGGAUCAGAAUGCCGCGGUGAAUACGUUCCCGGGUCUUGUACACACCGCCCGUCACACCAUGGGAGUCGGAAAUGCCCGAAGUCGGUGACCUAACUGAAAGGAAGGAGCCGCCGAAGGCAGGUCUGGUGACUGGGGUGAAGUCGUAACAAGGUAGC
This 220-nucleotide ribosomal RNA is filed under the name uncultured bacterium. RNAcentral describes it as "partial 16S ribosomal RNA". It matches the Rfam family "Bacterial small subunit ribosomal RNA", at positions 1281 to 1500 of the family's 1533-position model. The record is from RNAcentral.